CCAAACUUGGUCAUUUAGAGGAAGUAAAAGUCGUAACAAGGUUUCCGUAGGUGAACCUGCGGAAGGAUCAUUAAAGAGUAAGGACCUUUACACGUCCGACCUCCCAACCCUUUGUUUACUUAACUAAAUUGUUGCUUCGGCGGGCCCGUCCCUCACGGGGGACCGCCGGGGGUGUGCCGCAAGGUGCCCCUUGGCCCGCGUCCGUCGAGAGGCCAAAUCACAAACUCUUGAAAUAAUCGUGGUAUAUUCUAAGUCCCCAUAAGCAAAAUAAAGCAAAACUUUCAACAACGGAUCUCUUGGUUCUGGCAUCGAUGAAGAACGCAGC
This 325-nucleotide unclassified non-coding RNA is filed under the name uncultured fungus. RNAcentral describes it as "partial contains small subunit ribosomal RNA, internal transcribed spacer 1, and 5.8S ribosomal RNA". The stretch from base 1 to 73 matches the Rfam family "Eukaryotic small subunit ribosomal RNA", at positions 1759 to 1831 of the family's 1831-position model. Lineage: Eukaryota; Fungi. The record is from RNAcentral.